GCUGGGGAGGGAGGGGAAGAGAGGGGAAGGGAGGAAGAAGUGCCGGCUUCCUCGGCUCCGCCCUCGCGGACCGAUUCCUAGACUCGCCCACUCCUUGUAAACUACGCGGACUUGGUCUUUCACCCUUCCUGUUCCUCCCCGCCGCCUUCCCGGUCCAACGAAAGUACAGAGAAGUGCGGCCGAAAGGAGACGGGCUGGGGAAGUCGUUGGCACUAGGAUGGAAGGAGGGAGGACGUUUUCUCGUGGCUAAGAAAAGCCGAAGGUCCGUGGACUCAUUUUCCUUGAAGGAGCGGAAGGGUUGCUUGCAGACCGCACGGUGACGUCAGCGUCUCUGGGCCCCCACUGAGGGGGCGUGCGGUGGCCGGAGAGUGCGCUGCGCAUGCGCCUGGGGAAGAAAGAAGCGGCCGAGCGCUGCGCUUGGGGGAGGGGAUUUCACGAUCCGCUCCUGUGGUCCAGCUUUACAGCAGCUUGGUUUUAUCUAGCCCUACUCGUCCCCAGGCUCUUAGAAGGAUUCACUGGGAAGGGGCUACUGAUCUCUUGGGUGGAGAUCUUGCAGAUUUGUUGACCUAGCAAAGUAUUACGUGUUCUUACCGUUGACAUGUAAAUAGAAUUGCGGUUUUUCUCACUGCCACAUUGUGUGGGUGGAGGGAGAUUCUAAAGGGUUUUAGGAAUCGGAAAAUUAGGGAGAAUCAAAUCAUGGGUGCUUAAGGCCUCAGUGAAACACUGUAAAUUAUACUGCUGACGGCGAGGAACCUGCUUGGCAAUGUGGCAAGGGGAUUUUAUCCACUCAACCAACACGUCUGAGUAUUUCCGAAUAGGUUUUAUUACCAGGUGCUUAAAGAAUGUGUGGUGACAUAAAUGGGUUUUAUUUGGGGUUCUGUUAGUACAAACGGUAACUUUUUGCUAUUUUGAUUGUUUUAAUUAUUUAAAAAUAUGUAGUAUUACAGAGUUUUGAAAGAGGAAGAGCUAGAUCUCAACCAUUUAUAGAAGUCUCGUUUGUUUUUUCCAUUUGUUUUUUAUAUAGUUAUUUUAACUGUCAGUGAAAAAAUAUGUGUUGAGUUUAUUUAGUGGCCAGACUCAGCAAACUGGAAGUAGCCAAGACAGACAUAGCUCCUGCCUUCAUGGAGUUUACAGUCCAAACAGAGGAUAACCAUUGAGCUAAUUAUCACUAUGUAAAAUUACCAAGUACAUUUACUUGUUUACUUGUGCAUGUAUCCCCUCCCUAGAAUAUAAGGUCGCAGGCGGCAGGGAUCUUGCAUGUUUCACCCUCUAUCCCUGUGUAUAAAAGGCUCUCAAUAUUUGACCAAGUAAACAAUUCUGGUAUUAAAACCGUUAAGAUGGAAAAUCGCCGGCUGCUGUGGAAACGCUUGCCUUUCCGCCUGGUUUGGGAUAUCAGAGAAGGUUUUUCUGAAGAAGUGACAUUUAAGAUGAGACUUGAAACCACUGGGCAAAGAAUGAUACAAGCAGAGGAAGUUAUGUGAAAAGGCUCCGAAGCUGAGACGUUCUAAAAAUCUCUGAAAGCUAGUGUGGCUGGCCCUCAGACAACUGAGGCAGGAUGUGGAAGCAGAGGACAGAUGCCAUAGAACAGAAGAAGGAAUGGGAAGCCCUAGGAGGAUUUCAAGUGGGUUGUAUCCUUUUUUUUUCUUUUUUUCACUUCAUGUAGCCUAUUAUUAUAUGGUCUUCAUUCAAAAAAGCCACCAUUUUUCUGCAUGUUACUCUUGAGACUGUAGCAUUUCUGCAUAAUACUAUUGAGAGUGUAACAUAAUUCCAUUGUUAGACCAUGAAAUUGCUUCUGAUUUUCACUCCAAUAAGAAUAAUGCAAAUUCCACUCCUAAAUAUAUACCCAAGAGAAAGGAAAAUAUUUGUCCAUGCAAAAACUUUUUUACAAACGUUAGCAUUAUUCAUAAUAGCCAAAGAUGAAACAACCUAAAUGUUCAUCAGCUGGCGCCUGUAUAAAUCAAAUGUGAUACAUCUAUGUACAAUCAAAUUUUUAUUUUUAAGAGAUGGGGUCUGGCUCCGUGGCGCAGAUGGGGGUGCCAUGAGACUUCCUAUGUUGUCCAGGCUGGUCUCAAACUCCUGGCCUCUAGCAAUUCUCCCUCCUUAGCCUGAAAGUGAUGGGAUUACAGGCAUGAGCCGUCACACCGACCUAUACAAUGGAAUCUUAUUGGGCCAUAAAAAGAAAAUACUAAUACAUGCUAUAACAUGCAUAACCUUUGAAAGCAGUAUGCUAAAUGAAAGAAGCCAGUCACAAAAGACCACAUAUUAUAUGAUUCCACUUACGUGAAUGUCCAGAAUAGGCAAAUAUAUAGAGACAGAAAGUAAGGAAGUGGUUGCUUAGGGCUAGGGGCAGGCAUGGGAUUAGGGGAUGAUAGUUAAAUGAUAUGGGGGUUUCUUUCUUUUUUUCUUUUCUUUUUUUCUUUUUUUUUUUUUUGGAAACAGGGCCUUGCUCUGUCCCCCAGGCUGCAGGCUGGAGUGCAAUGGUGUGAACAUGACUCACUGUAGCCUUGACCUCCAGGAUCAAGCAAUCCUCCUGCCUCAGCCUCCUGUGUAGCUGGAACCACAGGCGCAUGCCUCCAUGCCCAACUGAUUUUUUGAAGGUUUCUUUUUGAGGUGAGAAAAAUGUUCUGAGAUUGAUUGUGUUGAUGGUUGCGCAACUGUGAAUAUUUAGGUUGAGUAUUAUCCAAAAUAUUUGAGACCAGAAGUAUUUUGAAUUUUAAACU
This 2720-nucleotide long non-coding RNA is filed under the name Homo sapiens (human). RNAcentral describes it as "non-protein coding lnc-SEPT11-2:1". The record is from RNAcentral. Lineage: Eukaryota; Metazoa; Chordata; Mammalia; Primates; Hominidae.